ACGGGUGCGUAACGCGUAUGCAACCUACCUUCAACUGGGGGAUAGCCCGGGGAAACCCGGAUUAAUACCGCAUAACACAAUGGAGUCUCAUGGUUUUAUUGUUAAAGAUUUAUUGGUUGAAGAUGGGCAUGCGUUCGAUUAGCUAGUUGGCGGGGUAACGGCCCACCAAGGCGACGAUCGAUAGGGGAGCUGAGAGGUUGAUCCCCCACACGGGCACUGAGAUACGGGCCCGACUCCUACGGGAGGCAGCAGUAGGGAAUAUUGGGCAAUGGAUGCAAGUCUGACCCAGCCAUGCCGCGUGCCGGAUGAAGGCCCUCAGGGUUGUAAACGGCUUUUAUUCGGGAAGAAGAGCAUGGAUGCGUCUGUGUGUGACGGUACCGAAUGAAUAAGCACCGGCUAACUCCGUGCCAGCAGCCGCGGUAAUACGGAGGGUGCGAGCGUUGUCCGGAUUUAUUGGGUUUAAAGGGUGCGUAGGUGGCUUUUUAAGUCAGUGGUGAAAUACAGCCGCUCAACGGUUGAGGUGCCAUUGAUACUGAAAAGCUUGAAACAAGUGGAGGCUGCCGGAAUGGAUGGUGUAGCGGUGAAAUGCAUAGA
This 594-nucleotide ribosomal RNA is filed under the name Dyadobacter sp. BvIRR141. Its description in RNAcentral is "bacterial SSU rRNA". It matches the Rfam family "Bacterial small subunit ribosomal RNA", at positions 102 to 694 of the family's 1533-position model. Lineage: Bacteria; Pseudomonadati; Bacteroidota; Cytophagia; Cytophagales; Spirosomataceae. The record is from RNAcentral.